Long non-coding RNA from Engraulis encrasicolus (European anchovy), 676 nucleotides. RefSeq lists it as uncharacterized. NCBI's taxonomy places the organism in Eukaryota, Metazoa, Chordata, Actinopteri, Clupeiformes, Engraulidae. The transcript is spliced from 3 exons. The record is from RefSeq and is a predicted model, not a curated record.
UGCAUUGACUUGACUUGUCAUUGGGUCUGAUUUUAAAUGUGCCAUAUAGUUCAAUGUGGGAGCAGGUUCACACACUAAAUAAGACACUAAGGUCAAGCACAAGCAGAUUUUUUGUUUUAUUUUUCUCAGAGCAGAGUAGAGCAGAUGUUUCAGGUUGCUGCCAUCAGAGAGCAGUGACUUGACCUCAGUGUCUUAUUUAGUGUACUCCCACAUUGAACUCUACUUUUUGGGUCCACGCACCUACUUAUUUCUAAACAUCUAGAGUGCAACAAUACCCAUGCCUCCUAAUGUGCCAUAUAACCUGUAUCUCGCCUAUUGUGUGUGUGUGUGUGUGUGUGUGUGUGUGUUCGUGAAUGUGUUCACGCAGAUAUAAGAAGUUGGGGUUGGGGUUGAUGAUCCACAUGAUGGUGAUGGACCAGGACAGCUCUGGACCUCCUGACUGGCAGCUCCAUCCUCAACCUCCCUUCCUGUCCUUCACACAUGUGCAGGCAGAGGCAGUUUUCUGAAGGAUGGUUAAUGUCAGUACCAACAUGUUGUGAUGGAGGCUUCCACCUGAGCUGAACACAGAAACUUGCACACAUUGAUGGAAGCAGUCGUUCCUGUUCAGCAUUGAUAUGCCGGUAAUGGGUUUGAUGAGCCACAGCAUGGUGAUGGGCAAUCAGCAUCAGGACCAGGG